Long non-coding RNA from Mesocricetus auratus (golden hamster), 2485 nucleotides. RefSeq lists it as uncharacterized. Lineage: Eukaryota; Metazoa; Chordata; Mammalia; Rodentia; Cricetidae. The record is from RefSeq and is a predicted model, not a curated record. The transcript has 2 exons.
AUCUAAGGAUGGUGUGGUGCUGGGUCAGGGAACAGAAGUGGCCUUCUCCGUGUCACAGAGCGGGGGCUCUCUCUGAUCCGGAGAGGACCCGAAGAUUGGAGCCCCGGCUGUGAUAAUGUGUCGCCCAUAUUCUUCACCUCUCGCCUCUCCCCUUAGAGCUCCUCACAGUUCCUGAACUGCAAAACGCCUGAAGUCAGGGCCAAGAGAGCCUGAGAAGUGGGGCCAUACAAAGAAGCAAUUCGCCCCUCAACAAGAACCCCAGCUUGACUACAGGCUGGAAGAGCGGCCGGUUUUCUCCGCAGUCUGACCAGUAAGGACACUGAGACAAGAGCAUAUAAGAAGUUUCUUACAGAAUGAAAAGGCCUGCCUUGCCAGCACGCUCACCGGAAUUCUUGGAGGAAAAGACAUAAGGGGAAGCCAGGCAGUCAGAAGCUAUCCAGAGUGACCAUGAUGGCCUGUUGCUUUCCUAUACAGUACCCAAAUGGUGGUCCAGGGCUACGCCCAGGCCAGAACCCGGCAGGACCAGGACCCACUGAUGGAUGAUCCAGACUUGGGUCCGUCCUGCAGUCAGUGCCAAACCCAGACCAAAGUGUCGUCCACAGGACACUGAGUCCUUCAAGAGGGCUGCACUGCUGGUGCUCUCCUAAGAUGCUUUCCUGUGUAGUGUUCGGGGUGAAGGUACACACGGGGGAUGGGGGAGAUGUUGUCUGGCAGGAUGUCCCCUCCCUUUCGGCAACAGGAUACCCAGCAGGGAGGACGGAUGGAACUCAAUGGUUUUCCUUCCUCCGUUUCUGGCAGGUGAGACACUGUGGGGCCUUGAGGACGGUGCCUGAGUUUGGCUUUGCCUAAAAAAGGAAGCAAUACGGUUGAGCCCGAGAAGCUUGCUGCAGGAACAAGUAAGAGCUAUGUCCUGCUGCCGUCCCCCACUCCCUUGCCGGGAAUCUUGGCAGUGGGUGUUGGCUUCACUCCACAGACCUCAGGCCUCUGAAUGGACCAGAAAGUGCUUGAUGUUUCUGCCUGAGCAAUGCUUGAGACAGGAGCAGCGUGUGUGAGUCCCUCAAAGAGCAUGCCUCUCAGGGGGCACCAACUAACCUCCAGCUCCCAGUACACAAGGUUGCUGUGGAGAUGGCAUUGUGAACAAGCAGAGGACAUGGUUGGGGUGUGGGGGGGUGGUGAGAGUCCCCAACAGAACCAUUUUAUCUCAGGCUUGUUCUGCCAGGGAGCUGGGUCUUGAAGGAAGCAGAGAUUCGUAGUCCCCAGGCCUAUCCUCACACCUCAGCCUGCCCUGUUUCCAUCCCUUCUGGAAAAAGUGAGCAGACCUUCUUGACUGUGACUCAGGCACUUGAGAAAGCAGCUGCCCUCCUUCCUCUGGCCUCACCAUCAGACGGAGAGGGCACAGGAGGCCCAGUCUCCACCCAGCCCUUCCAAGCUGGGCUACCUGCCUGACUUGAGCUCAGGCUGAAUUGUUCCUGCUGCCAAAUUCCUUGGGAUACCCUUCCCAUCAUCCCUACCCCCUGAGCAGCCACCAGAAAAGUCUUAUGCUUUUGUCAUGCAGUGCUCCCCACCCCCAGAAGACAGACAUCCUAGGGGUUAUGGGGUCAGCCAGGGGUGCAAUGGUCAGGUUCGGGGCUGGGCUUAAAGCAGAUACCAAAGGAAGAAUAAACAGAAGAGUCCAGAAGCCUUUUCUCUAAAACAAGAUAGGCUCAGGAAAGGGGAAAAGAGCAAAGAUGGGCCAGGUUUGGGUGACCUUGACCCCUCAGUCCUCAGCCUCCAGGGACUGACUGCCCCUGCCUGUUCCUGUCAACCUAGGAACCCAAGAGGAAGGACAACCUUUGAUGCUAAGUCUAGCCUGCCACAAUGACUUUGGCUCAGAACAAGGAGUGCCUGUCUGUGCCUUACUUCCUGGAGCAGCUGGCCUGCCCUGUCUGGGUCUGCAGGCAGGUGGAGGGGUUUCCUGAAACCCAGAACACCGCUCUUAGAGUGUCCCUGCUUUCAGCCAAGGACCCUAGGGAAUGUUCCUUUCCUCCCACAGUCAGGCUUCUGCAGAGAAGAAGGGCCUUUUGUCCACAGAUGGCUGUGGUCAUGUUCAAUCCCAGGGAAAAGGGCAGCUCCUGGGGCCUCUGACCUGACCCUUGACCCCAUGCAAGGACAGAACUGCUUGCCCUGCCCUGUCUCUCCACCCGAACUAUGAGCUGCUGUUUUGUUUUGUUUUUCAUGGAGGAACUCUUGCUGGCUUGCUCACUGACUCAUGCUUAACUAGCUCCCUCAUACAGCCUAGGACUACUUGCUCAGGUAAUGGUAUAGCCCAUAGUAGUGGUCUGGGUCUUCCUGCAACAACAAUUCCCCCCGCAGACCAGUCUGACCCAAGGAUCCCUCAAUUGAGACUUCCUUCCCAGAUGACCCUGGCUGUAUCACAUUAAAGCUGACUAGGAUGAGUGCCAAGGGGGAAACUUCUCCCAUUUCCACCAGGCUGAAUGCUCUGAAA